RNAcentral lists this ribosomal RNA (59 nucleotides) under Paraconiothyrium sp. Its description in RNAcentral is "partial 18S ribosomal RNA". Lineage: Eukaryota; Fungi; Ascomycota; Dothideomycetes; Pleosporales; Didymosphaeriaceae. The record is from RNAcentral.
CGCGGCCCUCGGCGGGAGCAACAGCUGCCGUCGGGCGGUAGAGGUAACACUUUCACGCG